This is a long non-coding RNA of Drosophila hydei, 669 nucleotides long. RefSeq lists it as uncharacterized. The transcript is spliced from 3 exons. The record is from RefSeq and is a predicted model, not a curated record. Lineage: Eukaryota; Metazoa; Arthropoda; Insecta; Diptera; Drosophilidae.
ACAUAAACAAGUCAGUUAGAGACGAAAAAUAAUUUAAAAUAAGAUGUUAUACAUUUAUGAUAACUUCACUGCAUAUUAAAUUAGAUUCAAUAAGCUAAAAUAAUUAUUUGGUUUGUAGACAAAAGCCCCUGGUUUGCGGUUAAGAUUCAAUCUAAAUCAGAAGACGGAACAUGUGUAUAUAUGUUUGCAUAUGCCAAACACAAGUUGCAGAAGUUGUUUAUAAGUGCUUUUAACUGCCUGCGGUGUAACACACUCAAUUUAAAAUUCAAAACACAACGACACAAACACAUACGCCCACGAAUGCACGCACACGUACACACGUAUGCACACACGCCAACUCCGAGCAGACGACAUGCAUCCACACAAAGAACUUUUCUGCUACAGAUGUAAGCCGUGUCUUGGCUUGCUUUCUUGGCUAUAACUUUUGGAAGUUCACUAACACAAAUUGGAAUCUUUUGGAAUGAAGUGCCGCAAUCGACGCUGCUGGCCAAAUCACAUCCACACGUUGCCGAACUCCAUUUGACAGGCGAAUGAAAGAACCCUUAUGAGUUUGUUCAAGGACUAACAAUGAAACCUCCACAUUGCAUUCUAGGCAGAUCUUUCUGUAUUCUGUCAUUUAGCUCUUACAAUAAACGCAUUUUUCAUGUAUCUCUCAGAUACAAUGCAUUA